UACGAAGGGUGCAAACGUUGCUCGGAAUCAUUGGGCGUAAAGCGCACGUAGGCGGCUUAGCAAGUCGGAUGUGAAAUCCCUCGGCUCAACCAAGGAAGUGCAUCCGAAACUGCUGAGCUUGAGUACUUAAGAGGAUCGCGGAAUUCCCGGUGUAGAGGUGAAAUUCGUAGAUAUCGGGAGGAACACCAGUGGCGAAGGCGGCGAUCUGGGCCGUAACUGACGCUGAGGAGCGAAAAGCAUGGGGAGCGAACAGG
Molecule: ribosomal RNA, 254 nt
Filed under: uncultured bacterium
Lineage: Bacteria
Description: partial 16S ribosomal RNA
Rfam family: Bacterial small subunit ribosomal RNA
Source: RNAcentral